UGGGGAAUAUUGCACAAUGGAGGGAACUCUGAUGCAGCGACGCCGCGUGAGUGAUGAAGGAAUUCGUUUCGUAAAACUCUGUUCUAUGGGAAGAAAAGGACUGUACCAUAGGAGAAAGCUCCGGCUAAAUACGUGCCAGCAGCCGCGGUAAUACGUAGGGCGCGAGCGUUGUCCGGAAUUAUUGGGCGUAAAGGGCUUGUAGGCGGCUUGUUGCGCCUGCUGUGAAAACGCGGGGCUUAACUUCGCGCGUGCAGUGGGUACGGGCAGGCUUGAGUGUGGUAGGGGUGACUGGAAUUCCAGGUGUAGCGGUGGAAUGCGCAGAUAUCUGGAGGAACACCGAUGGCGAAGGCAGGUCACUGGGCCAUUACUGACGCUGAGGAGCGAAAGCAUGGGUAGCGAACAGG
This 404-nucleotide ribosomal RNA is filed under the name Fusobacteriota bacterium. RNAcentral describes it as "Fusobacteria bacterium partial 16S ribosomal RNA". It matches the Rfam family "Bacterial small subunit ribosomal RNA", at positions 355 to 776 of the family's 1533-position model. The record is from RNAcentral. Lineage: Bacteria; Fusobacteriati; Fusobacteriota.